GGCCUCGUAGCUUAGCUGGUAGAGCAUGCGCGUACAAAGCGUAGGCGGCGUCUGUGCGUGGGUUCGAAUCCCACCGAGGCUA
This 82-nucleotide transfer RNA is filed under the name Echinostoma caproni. It matches the Rfam family "tRNA". From Rfam's summary of the family: Transfer RNA (tRNA) molecules are approximately 80 nucleotides in length. Their secondary structure includes four short double-helical elements and three loops (D, anti-codon, and T loops). Lineage: Eukaryota; Metazoa; Platyhelminthes; Trematoda; Plagiorchiida; Echinostomatidae. The record is from Rfam by way of RNAcentral.